This is a long non-coding RNA of Salvia miltiorrhiza (redroot sage), 638 nucleotides long. RefSeq lists it as uncharacterized. The record is from RefSeq and is a predicted model, not a curated record. Lineage: Eukaryota; Viridiplantae; Streptophyta; Magnoliopsida; Lamiales; Lamiaceae. The transcript is spliced from 2 exons.
UUGGUUUAAAAAAGCGCGCUUAAGCGCAAAAAAGCGCGCGCUUUUGGUGAAGCGCAGCUGUGGGCUUUUUUCUGGGCGAAGCGCGCUCACCUACACGAAGCGCCGAAAAGCGCACAAAAGCGCACAAAGCGCAGAAAAGCGCAAAGCGCAGAAAAGCGGGCUUUUAGUAUGUUAGGGUUAGGUUUUUAAAUUUUAAAAAAACUAGGUUUUAUUUCAUAAAAUCAAAGGCUUGCCUCCAGCGUCCAGCCGUCUUCUCCCAUCCCUCUCGCGUCCUGCCGUCGCGCGCCGCCGCCUGCCGUCGCGCGCUGCCGCCUGCCGUCGCGCGCCGCCUCCAGCCCGCCGCCGUCGUCGCCAGCUGUCCGCCGGUCAUCGUCCAAGUUUUUUAAUGACUUCAAAUAGUUCACAAGUAGCAUCAUCAACGGAUGGAGAUGAUCCAGCUAAAAGAUAUGAGGUUGGGGAGGAGAUGGAAGAGGACAUUGGUGAAGACAAAGAUGAUGAAGGAGAUGGGGAUGAUGCACUUAAUGAUGAUGAUUUUUGAUUAGUUGCUUGAGAUUUGAUUGAACUUUUAGACUUGCGUACUUUAAACUUAAGUAUUUGUGUGUUUUAAUUUUUAAAUUAAGUAUUUGUGUGUUUAAGUA